GAUGAAGAACGUAGCGAAAUGCGAUAAGUAAUGUGAAUUGCAGAAUUCAGUGAAUCAUCGAAUCUUUGAACGCACAUUGCGCCCGCCAGUAUUCUGGCGGGCAUGCCUGUCUGAGCGUCAUUUCAACCCUCAUGCCCCUAGGGCGUGGUGUUGGGGAUCGGCCAAAGCCCGCGAGGGACGGCCGGCCCCUAAAUCUAGUGGCGGACCCGUCGUGGCCUCCUCUGCGAAGUAGUGAUAUUCCGCAUCGGAGAGCGAUGAGCCCCUGCCGUUAAACCCCCAACUUUCCAAGGUUGACCUCAGAUCUGGUAGGAAUACCCGCUGAACUUAAGCAUAUCAAUAAGCGGAGGA
RNAcentral lists this unclassified non-coding RNA (348 nucleotides) under soil metagenome. RNAcentral describes it as "partial contains 5.8S ribosomal RNA, internal transcribed spacer 2, and large subunit ribosomal RNA". The stretch from base 1 to 120 matches the Rfam family "5.8S ribosomal RNA", at positions 35 to 154 of the family's 154-position model. The record is from RNAcentral.